RNAcentral lists this ribosomal RNA (272 nucleotides) under uncultured bacterium. RNAcentral's name for it is "partial 16S ribosomal RNA". It matches the Rfam family "Bacterial small subunit ribosomal RNA", at positions 524 to 794 of the family's 1533-position model. The record is from RNAcentral.
UACGGAGGGUGCGAGCGUUGUUCGGAAUUAUUGGGCGUAAAGCGCGUGUAGGCGGUCUUUUAAGUCUGAUGUGAAAGCCCCCGGGCUCAACCCGGGAAGUGCAUUGGAAACUGGGAGACUUGAAUACGGGAGAGGGUAGUGGAAUUCCUAGUGUAGGAGUGAAAUCCGUAGAUAUUAGGAGGAACACCGGUGGCGAAGGCGGCUACCUGGACCGAUAUUGACGCUGAGACGCGAAAGCGUGGGGAGCAAACAGGAUUAGAUACCCCCGUAGU